UGCAAACUGCGAAUACCGGAGAAUGUUAUCACGGGAGACACACGGCGGGUGCUAACGUCCGUCGUGAAGAGGGAAACAACCCAGACCGCCAGCUAAGGUCCCAAAGUCAUGGUUAAGUGGGAAACGAUGUGGGAAGGCCCAGACAGCCAGGAUGUUGGCUUAGAAGCAGCCAUCAUUUAAAGAAAGCGUAAUAGCUCACUGGUCGAGUCGGCCUGCGCGGAAGAUGUAACGGGGCUAAACCAUGCACCGAAGCUGCGGCAGCGACGCUUAUGCGUUGUUGGGUAGGGGAGCGUUCUGUAAGCCUGUGAAGGUGUGCUGUGAGGUAUGCUGGAGGUAUCAGAAGUGCGAAUGCUGACAUAAGUAACGAUAAAGCGGGUGAAAAGCCCGCUCGCCGGAAGACCAAGGGUUCCUGUCCAACGUUAAUCGGGGCAGGGUGAGUCGACCCCUAAGGCGAGGCCGAAAGGCGUAGUCGAUGGGAAACAGGUUAAUAUUCCUGUACUUGGUGUUACUGCGAAGGGGGGACGGAGAAGGCUAUGUUGGCCGGGCGACGGUUGUCCCGGUUUAAGCGUGUAGGCUGGUUUUCCAGGCAAAUCCGGAAAAUCAAGGCCGAGGCGUGAUGACGAGGCACUACGGUGCUGAAGCAACAAAUGCCCUGCUUCCAGGAAAAGCCUCUAAGCAUCAGGUAACAUCAAAUCGUACCCCAAACCGACACAGGUGGUCAGGUAGAGAAUACCAAGGCGCUUGAGAGAACUCGGGUGAAGGAACUAGGCAAAAUGGUGCCGUAACUUCGGGAGAAGGCACGCUGAUACGUAGGUGAAGCGACUUGCUCGUGGAGCUGAAAUCAGUCGAAGAUACCAGCUGGCUGCAACUGUUUAUUAAAAACACAGCACUGUGCAAACACGAAAGUGGACGUAUACGGUGUGACGCCUGCCCGGUGCCGGAAGGUUAAUUGAUGGGGUUAGCGCAAGCGAAGCUCUUGAUCGAAGCCCCGGUAAACGGCGGCCGUAACUAUAACGGUCCUAAGGUAGCGAAAUUCCUUGUCGGGUAAGUUCCGACCUGCACGAAUGGCGUAAUGAUGGCCAGGCUGUCUCCACCCGAGACUCAGUGAAAUUGAACUCGCUGUGAAGAUGCAGUGUACCCGCGGCAAGACGGAAAGACCCCGUGAACCUUUACUAUAGCUUGACACUGAACAUUGAGCCUUGAUGUGUAGGAUAGGUGGGAGGCUUUGAAGUGUGGACGCCAGUCUGCAUGGAGCCGACCUUGAAAUACCACCCUUUAAUGUUUGAUGUUCUAACGUGGACCCGUGAUCCGGGUUGCGGACAGUGUCUGGUGGGUAGUUUGACUGGGGCGGUCUCCUCCUAAAGAGUAACGGAGGAGCACGAAGGUUGGCUAAUCCUGGUCGGACAUCAGGAGGUUAGUGCAAUGGCAUAAGCCAGCUUGACUGCGAGCGUGACGGCGCGAGCAGGUGCGAAAGCAGGUCAUAGUGAUCCGGUGGUUCUGAAUGGAAGGGCCAUCGCUCAACGGAUAAAAGGUACUCCGGGGAUAACAGGCUGAUACCGCCCAAGAGUUCAUAUCGACGGCGGUGUUUGGCACCUCGAUGUCGGCUCAUCACAUCCUGGGGCUGAAGUAGGUCCCAAGGGUAUGGCUGUUCGCCAUUUAAAGUGGUACGCGAGCUGGGUUUAGAACGUCGUGAGACAGUUCGGUCCCUAUCUGCCGUGGGCGCUGGAGAACUGAGGGGGGCUGCUCCUAG
Molecule: ribosomal RNA, 1750 nt
Filed under: Shigella flexneri
Lineage: Bacteria; Pseudomonadati; Pseudomonadota; Gammaproteobacteria; Enterobacterales; Enterobacteriaceae
Description: partial 23S ribosomal RNA
Rfam family: Bacterial large subunit ribosomal RNA
Source: RNAcentral